AACGAACGCUGGCGGCAGGCCUAACACAUGCAAGUCGAGCGCGCCCUUCGGGGUGAGCGGCGGACGGGUGAGUAACGCGUGGGAACGUGCCCUUUUCUACGGAAUAGCCUCGGGAAACUGAGAGUAAUACCGUAUACGCCCUUUGGGGGAAAGAUUUAUCGGAAAAGGAUCGGCCCGCGUUGGAUUAGGUAGUUGGUGGGGUAAUGGCCUACCAAGCCGACGAUCCAUAGCUGGUUUGAGAGGAUGAUCAGCCACACUGGGACUGAGACACGGCCCAGACUCCUACGGGAGGCAGCAGUGGGGAAUCUUAGACAAUGGGGGCAACCCUGAUCUAGCCAUGCCGCGUGAGUGAUGAAGGCCUUAGGGUUGUAAAGCUCUUUCAGCUGGGAAGAUAAGGACGGUACCAGCAGAAGAAGCCCCGGCGAACUCCGU
RNAcentral lists this ribosomal RNA (432 nucleotides) under uncultured bacterium. RNAcentral describes it as "partial 16S ribosomal RNA". It matches the Rfam family "Bacterial small subunit ribosomal RNA", at positions 29 to 506 of the family's 1533-position model. The record is from RNAcentral.